RNAcentral lists this transfer RNA (71 nucleotides) under Loxodonta africana (African savanna elephant). It matches the Rfam family "tRNA". From Rfam's summary of the family: Transfer RNA (tRNA) molecules are approximately 80 nucleotides in length. Their secondary structure includes four short double-helical elements and three loops (D, anti-codon, and T loops). Lineage: Eukaryota; Metazoa; Chordata; Mammalia; Proboscidea; Elephantidae. The record is from Rfam by way of RNAcentral.
GCACGGGUGGCUCAGUGAUAGAAUUCUCACUUUCCGUGUGGGAGACCUGGGUUCAAUUCCUGGCCAAUGCA